RNAcentral lists this ribosomal RNA (911 nucleotides) under metagenome. Its description in RNAcentral is "bacterial SSU rRNA". It matches the Rfam family "Bacterial small subunit ribosomal RNA", at positions 8 to 884 of the family's 1533-position model. The record is from RNAcentral.
AGAGUUUGAUCCUGGCUCAGGACGAACGCUGGCGGCGUGCUUAACACAUGCAAGUCGAACGAGAGCGUAGAGAAAGCUUGCUUUUUCUACAAUCUAGUGGCAAACGGGUGAGUAACGCGUAAACAACCUGCCCUACGGAUGGGGACAACAGCUGGAAACGGCUGCUAAUACCGAAUACGUUCCGAAAGUCGCAUGACUAUCGGAAGAAAGGAUGGCCUCUAUUUAUAAGCUAUCGCCGGAGGAGGGGUUUGCGUCUGAUUAGCUAGUUGGAGGGGUAACGGCCCACCAAGGCGACGAUCAGUAGCCGGUCUGAGAGGAUGAACGGCCACAUUGGAACUGAGACACGGUCCAGACUCCUACGGGAGGCAGCAGUGGGGAAUCUUCCGCAAUGGGCGAAAGCCUGACGGAGCAACGCCGCGUGAGUGAAGACGGCCUUCGGGUUGUAAAGCUCUGUUAUACGGGACGAAUAAUCUUGUGGUUAAUACCCAUGAGAAGUGACGGUACCGUAAGAGAAAGCCACGGCUAACUACGUGCCAGCAGCCGCGGUAAUACGUAGGUGGCAAGCGUUGUCCGGAAUUAUUGGGCGUAAAGGGCGCGCAGGCGGCUUCUUAAGUCUGUCUUAAAAGUGCGGGGCUUAACCCCGUGAUGGGAUGGAAACUGGGAAGCUCAGAGUAUCGGAGAGGAAAGCGGAAUUCCUAGUGUAGCGGUGAAAUGCGUAGAUAUUAGGAGGAACACCAGUGGCGAAAGCGGCUUUCUGGACGAAAACUGACGCUGAGGCGCGAAAGCCAGGGGAGCGAACGGGAUUAGAUACCCCGGUAGUCCUGGCCGUAAACGAUGGGUACUAGGUGUAGGAGGUAUCGACCCCUUCUGUGCCGGAGUUAACGCAAUAAGUACCCCGCCUGGGGAGUACG